This 406-nucleotide ribosomal RNA is filed under the name uncultured bacterium. RNAcentral describes it as "partial 16S ribosomal RNA". It matches the Rfam family "Bacterial small subunit ribosomal RNA", at positions 30 to 526 of the family's 1533-position model. The record is from RNAcentral.
AUUGAACGCUGGCGGCAGGCCUAACACAUGCAAGUCGAACGAGUGGCGGACGGGUGAGUAAUGUCUGGGAAACUGCCCGAUGGAGGGGGAUAACUACUGGAAACGGUAGCUAAUACCGCAUACCAUCGGAUGUGCCCAGAUGGGAUUAGCUAGGAGGGGGGGUAAAGGCUCACCUAGGCGACGAUCCCUAGCUGGUCUGAGAGGAUGACCAGCGACCCUGGAACUGAGACACGGUCCAGACUCCUGCGGUAGGCAGCAGUGGGGAAGAUUGCACACUGGGCGCAAGCCUGAUGCAGCCAUGCCGCGUGUAUGAAGAAGGCCUUCGGGUUGUAAAGUACUUUCAGCGUGGAGGCGUUACCCGCAGAAGAAGCACCGGCUAACUCCGUGCCAGCAGCCGCGGUAAUUC